CCCUUAGAUGUUCUGGGCUGCACGCGCGCUACACUGACGCACGCAACAGGUGCCUGCUCCGAGAGGACUGGGUAAUCAUUUGAGUGUGCGUCGUGAUGGGGAUAGAAUAUUGUAAUUAUUACUCUUCAACGAGGAAUUCCUAGUAAGCGCCAGUCAGCAGCUUGCGCUGAUUACGUCCCUGCCCUUUGUACACACCGCCCGUCGCUCCUACCGAUGGGUGAUCCGGUGAAUGAUUCGGACUUCAGCGGCUCCCCUGGGGUGCGCCAGAGAAAGUUUUGUGAACCUUAUCACUUGGAGGAAGGAGAAGUCGUAACA
This 315-nucleotide ribosomal RNA is filed under the name uncultured eukaryote. RNAcentral's name for it is "partial 18S ribosomal RNA". It matches the Rfam family "Eukaryotic small subunit ribosomal RNA", at positions 1470 to 1796 of the family's 1831-position model. The record is from RNAcentral.